GGAGGUAUAACUCAGUGGUAGACCAUCUGCCUAGCAAGCACAAGGUCCUGAAUUCAAACUCUAGUACUGCCA
RNAcentral lists this transfer RNA (72 nucleotides) under Dipodomys ordii (Ord's kangaroo rat). It matches the Rfam family "tRNA". From Rfam's summary of the family: Transfer RNA (tRNA) molecules are approximately 80 nucleotides in length. Their secondary structure includes four short double-helical elements and three loops (D, anti-codon, and T loops). Lineage: Eukaryota; Metazoa; Chordata; Mammalia; Rodentia; Heteromyidae. The record is from Rfam by way of RNAcentral.